Molecule: ribosomal RNA, 324 nt
Filed under: uncultured Euglypha
Lineage: Eukaryota; Cercozoa; Imbricatea; Euglyphida; Euglyphidae
Description: SSU rRNA
Rfam family: Eukaryotic small subunit ribosomal RNA (bases 112-324)
Source: RNAcentral
GAUUUCUGACGAACCGGAGUGGCCCGUUUUCAUUUCGGAAAUGAGUGCCGCUUUGAGUUUGUCAUCCUUCCAGAGAGCUGCGUCUACCGUUUACUCGGCCGGACGUAUGCGAUCUGGAUCUAUUACUUUGAAAAAAUUAGAGUGUUUAAAGCAGGCUUAUGCUGUGAAUACAUUAGCAUGGAAUAAUAAUUUAGGACUUCGGUCCUAUUUUGUUGGUUUCUAGGACAGAAGUAAUGAUUGAUAGGGACAGUUGGGGGUGCUAGUAUUCCGCGGCCAGAGGUGAAAUUCUUGGAUUCGCGGAAGACUAACUACUGCGAAAGCAUU